UAUCUUUGCGCCGUGUUAGAGUAACACAUACAUAAAAAUCAUUUAAACAAUAUUGGCAUG
RNAcentral lists this non-coding RNA (60 nucleotides) under unclassified sequences. Its description in RNAcentral is "S15-Flavobacteria ribosomal protein leader". It matches the Rfam family "S15-Flavobacteria ribosomal protein leader". RNAcentral also lists the same sequence under 1 other name. The record is from RNAcentral.